RNAcentral lists this ribosomal RNA (488 nucleotides) under uncultured bacterium. RNAcentral's name for it is "partial 16S ribosomal RNA". It matches the Rfam family "Bacterial small subunit ribosomal RNA", at positions 29 to 523 of the family's 1533-position model. The record is from RNAcentral.
AGCGAACGCUGGCGGCAGGCCUAACACAUGCAAGUCGAACGGACCCUUCGGGGUUAGUGGCGAACGGGUGAGUAAUACAUCGGAACGUGCCUAGUAGUGGGGGAUAACUACUCGAAAGAGUGGCUAAUACCGCAUGAGAUCUACGGAUGAAAGCAGGGGAUCGCAAGAACUUGUGCUACUAGAGCGGCCGAUGGCAGAUUAGGUAGUUGGUGGGAUAAAAGCUUACCAAGCCGACGAUCUGUAGCUGGUCUGAGAGGACGAUCAGCCACACUGGGACUGAGACACGGCCCAGACUCCUACGGGAGGCAGCAGUGGGGAAUUUUGGACAAUGGGCGCAAGCCUGAUCCAGCAAUGCCGCAUGCAGGAUGAAGGCCUUCGGGUUGUAAACUGCUUUUGUACGGAACGAAAAGCCCCGGGUUAAUACCCUGGGGUCAUGACGGUACCGUAAGAAUAAGCACCGGCUAACUACGUGCCAGCAGCCGCAGUAA